AGAACGAACGCUGGCGGCACGCCUAACACAUGCAAGUCGAGCGCCCAGCAAUGGGAGCGGCGGACGGGUGAGUAACACGUGGGAAUAUGCCUUUCGGUACGGAACAACUCAGGGAAACUUGAGCUAAUGCCGUAUACGCCCUUACGGGGAAAGAUUUAUCGCCGAAAGAUUAGCCCGCGUCUGAUUAGCUAGUUGGUGAGGUAAUGGCUCACCAAGGCUUCGAUCAGUAGCUGGUUUGAGAGAACGACCAGCCACACUGGGACUGAGACACGGCCCAGACUCCUACGGGAGGCAGCAGUGGGGAAUCUUGGACAAUGGGGGAAACCCUGAUCCAGCGAUGCCGCGUGAGUGAUGAAGGCCUUGGGUUGUAAAACUCUUUCGACGGGGACGAUAAUGACGGUACCCGUAGAAGAAGCUCCGGCUAACUUCGUGCCAGCAGCCGC
This 443-nucleotide ribosomal RNA is filed under the name uncultured bacterium. Its description in RNAcentral is "SSU rRNA". It matches the Rfam family "Bacterial small subunit ribosomal RNA", at positions 26 to 518 of the family's 1533-position model. The record is from RNAcentral.